GUACUGCUGAAGAGUCUCAUACUAGGACGAAACAGUUGUCCAGUAC
This is a non-coding RNA of Schistosoma haematobium, 46 nucleotides long. NCBI's taxonomy places the organism in Eukaryota, Metazoa, Platyhelminthes, Trematoda, Strigeidida, Schistosomatidae. The record is from Rfam.